CUCUGCCUCCUGGAUUCAAGCAGUUCUACUGCCUCAGUCUUCCGAGUAGCUGGGAUUACAGCCACCCUCAUGACCUGCUAACUUUGCAGCCACAAGGAGCACGUGGCUAGUCCCUAGAGUACCAUUUGUAGGAGCUACCCAGGAGAGCUGUCUGACCAGCACCAUCCAUGCAGGACUUGGUGUAAGCAAGAAGUAAACUUUCAUUGUUAACCCACUGAAAAUUAAGGUUUUAUUUAUUGCCGGAGCAAAUCCCAGUGUACCCUAACGAAGACAUCCUGAAACAUCCAUAAUGGGUAAAAGGCCCUCCAGGCGGUGGGAAGGGGAGCAAGUUAGUGGAUGGCGUAUGAAGGAAGAGGCUGGGAAGGACAAAAGGAUUACAAAGUGUCAAACAUAAACAUACAAUCAGAAGAAUCUGGUGGGUGAACUCAGGGUUCUGAGUUUUAGGCAUCUUUGUGGGAGAUAUUUCUGGAAUGAGAAAGAUGGUGCCCAUGAGUUGGUGGGGAAGAUAGCUCAGAAUCAGAGAAGAACUGGCAAUCCCUCGCCUGGCUAACUGGAAAUUUAGUCAAGCAGGGCAAAUACAUCCUGAACUCGCACCGCCCCUCUUGAAACCUGCAGACUGAGGACAUCAGCAUGCAUGACCCUGUGAGCCUGGCGUCCCAAAUGUUCAAUCUCUGAAUACUGCUGUGUUCAACAAGCCUAGUUUCACAGAACAACAGCAUAAAAUAAAAUAAAGAAAUUCCAUUCUUUACUCACA
Molecule: long non-coding RNA, 754 nt
Organism: Piliocolobus tephrosceles (Ugandan red Colobus)
Lineage: Eukaryota; Metazoa; Chordata; Mammalia; Primates; Cercopithecidae
Exons: 2
Source: RefSeq, a predicted model, not a curated record